Molecule: transfer RNA, 76 nt
Filed under: Alphaproteobacteria bacterium
Lineage: Bacteria; Pseudomonadati; Pseudomonadota; Alphaproteobacteria
Also listed under: 1 other name
Description: tRNA-Phe
Rfam family: tRNA
About the family: Transfer RNA (tRNA) molecules are approximately 80 nucleotides in length. Their secondary structure includes four short double-helical elements and three loops (D, anti-codon, and T loops).
Source: RNAcentral
GCCUGGGUAGCUCAGUCGGUAGAGCAAAGGAUUGAAAAUCCUUGUGUCGGGGGUUCGAUUCCCUUCCCAGGCACCA